UACGUAGGGUGCAAGCGUUGUCCGGAAUUAUUGGGCGUAAAGAGCUCGUAGGCGGCUUGUCACGUCGACUGUGAAAACCCGGGGCUCAACUCCGGGCCUGCAGUCGAUACGGGCUGGCUUGAGUGCGGUAGGGGGAGACUGGAAUUCCUGGUGUAGCGGUGGAAUGCGCAGAUAUCAGGAGGAACACCGGUGGCGAAGGCGGGUCUCUGGGCAGUAACUGACGCUGAGGCGCGAAAGCCAGGGGAGCGAACGGG
RNAcentral lists this ribosomal RNA (254 nucleotides) under uncultured bacterium. RNAcentral's name for it is "partial 16S ribosomal RNA". It matches the Rfam family "Bacterial small subunit ribosomal RNA", at positions 524 to 776 of the family's 1533-position model. The record is from RNAcentral.